Molecule: long non-coding RNA, 2411 nt
Filed under: Brassica napus (rape)
Lineage: Eukaryota; Viridiplantae; Streptophyta; Magnoliopsida; Brassicales; Brassicaceae
Description: long non-coding RNA (BNAP_LNC000913)
Source: RNAcentral
AGUAGGGUUUAGGGUUAGAAAGGGUUUAAGGUUAGGUAGGGUUUAGGGUAGGUAGGGUUUAGGGUUAGGUAGAGUUAGCGGUAGGUAAGGUUUAGGGUUAGGCAGGGUUUAGGGUUAGGCAGGGUUUAGUGUUAGAAAUGGUUUAGGGUUAGAAAGGGUUUAAGGUUAGGUUUAGGCAUGGUUUAGGUUAGCAGGGUUUAGGGUUCGGUUGGGUUUAGGGUUAGAAAGGGUUUAGGGUUAGGUAGAGUUUAGGGUUAGGCAGGGUUUAGGGUUAAAAAGGGUUUAGGGUUAGGUAGGGUUAGGUAGGGUUUAAGGUUAGGUAGGGUUUAGGGUUAGGUAAGGUUUAGAAUUAGGUAGGGUUUAGGGUUAGGAAGGAUUUAGAAUUAGGCAGGUUUUAGGGUUAGGCAGGUUUUAGGGUUAGGUAGGGUUUAGGGUUAGGUACGGUUUAGGAUUAGUAGGGUUUAGGGUUAGGUAGGGUUUAGAAUUAGGUAGGGUUUAAGGUUAGGCAGGGUUUAAGGUUAGGCAGAGUUUAGGGUUAGGCAGGGUUUAGGGUUAGAAAGGGUUUAGGGUUAGGCAGGGUUUAGGGUUAGAAAGGGUUUAGGGUUAGAUAGGGUUUAGGGUUAGGUAGGGUUUAGGGUUAGGUAGGGUUUAGGGUUAGAAAGGGUUUAAGGUUAGGUAGGGUUUAGGGUAGGUAGUGUUUAGGGUUAGGUAGAGUUAGCGGUAGGUAAGGUUUAGGAUUAGGUAGGGUUUAGAGUUUGGUAGGGUUUAAGGUUAGUAGGGUUUAGGGUUAGGCAAGGUUUAAAAUUAGGUAGGGUUAGGGUUAGGCAGGGUUAAGGGUUAGGCAGGGUUUAGGGUUAGGCAGGGUUUAGGGUUAGAAAGGGUUUAGAGUUAGAAAGGGUUUAGGGUUAGAAAGGGUUUAAGGUUAGGUUUAGGCAUGGUUUAGGUUAGCAGGGUUUAGGGUUCGGUUGGGUUUAGGGUUAGAAAGGGUUUAGGGUUAGGUAGGGUUUAGGGUUAGGCAGGGUUUAGGGUUAGGCAGGGUUUAGGGUUCGGCAGGGUUUAGAGGUAGUAGGGUUUAGGGUUAGAUAGGGUUUUAGGUUAGGCAGGGUUUAGGUUAGGUAGGGUUUAGGGUUAGGCAGGGUUUAGGGUUAGUAGGGUUUAGAAUUAGGUAGGGUUUAGGGUUAGGCACAGUUUAGGGUUAGACAGGGUUUAGGGUUAGUAGGGUUUAGGGUUAGGAAGGGUUUAGGGUUAGGUAGGGUUUAGGGUUAGAAAGGGUUUAGGGUUAGGUAGGGUUUAUGGUAGGUAGGGUUUAGGGUUAGGUAGGGUGAAGGGUAGGUAGGGUUUAGGGUUAGGUAGGGUUUAGGGUUAGUAGGGUUUAGAAUUAGGUAGGAUUUAGGGUUAGGUAGGGUUUAGGGUGAGGUAGGGUUUAGGGUUAGUAGGGUUUAGGGUUAGAAAGGAGGUUUAGGGUUAGGUAGAGUUUAGAAUUAGGUAGGGUUUAGGGUUAGGUAGAGUUUAGAAUUAGGUAGGGUUUAGGGUUAGGUAGAGUUUAGAAUUAGGUAGGGUUUAGGGUUAGGUAGAGUUUAGAAUUAGGUAGGGUUUAGGGUUAGUAUGGUUUAGGUUUAGGUAGGGUUUAGGGCUAGAUAGGAUUUAGGUUUAGAAAGGUUUUAGGGUUAGGUAGGGUUUAGGUUAGGUAGGGUUUAGGGUUAGUAGGGUUUAGGGUUAGGUAGGGUUUAGGGCUAGAUAUGAUCUAGGUUUAGAAAGGUUUUAGGGUUAGGUAGGGUUUAGGUUAGGUAGGGUUUAGGGUUAGUAGGGUUUAGGGUUAGGUAGGGUUUAGGGCUAGAUAUGAUCUAGGUUUAGAAAGGUUUUAGGGUUAGGUAGGGUUUAGGUUAGGUAGGGUUUAGGGUUAGUAGGGUUUAGGGUUAGGUAGGGUUUAGGGCUAGAUAUGAUCUAGGUUUAGAAAGGUUUUAGGGUUAGGUAGGGUUUAGGUUAGGUAGAGUUUAGUGUUAAGUAGGGUUUAGGGUUAGUAGGAUUUAGGGUUAGGUAGGGUUUAGGGUUAGUAUGGUUUAGGGUUAGGUUUUAGGGUUAGGUAAGGUUUAGUGUUAGGUAGGGUUUAGGGUUAAAUAGGGUUUAGGGUUAGGUAGGGUUUACGGUUAGAUAUGCUUAGGUAGUAGGAAGGGUUUAGGGAUUAGGGUUAGGUUUAUGUAGGGUUUAGGGUUAGAUAUGGUUAAGGUCUAGGUUUAGGUAGGGUUUAGGGUUAGGUAGAAUUUAAAGUUUAGGUAGUAGGAAAGGUUUAGCAUUAGUUUAGGUUGGGUUUAGGGUUUGGUUUAGAAUAAUGUUUAGGAUUAUAGGAUUUAAGUUUGUUUAUUUUUUUGUUUAUGCAUUUAAUGCUGAGUCUUUCGGAUAAAGUUUUUUAU